Molecule: ribosomal RNA, 1422 nt
Filed under: uncultured bacterium
Lineage: Bacteria
Description: 16S ribosomal RNA
Rfam family: Bacterial small subunit ribosomal RNA
Source: RNAcentral
CUCAGGACGAACGCUGGCGGCGUGCUUAACACAUGCAAGUCGAACGGACCUUAUUUGGAGGAAGCUUUCGGGUAGACACUGAAUAAGGUUAGUGGCGGACGGGUGAGUAACGCGUAGAUAAUCUACCUUAAAGACUGGGACAACAGUUGGAAACGACUGCUAAUACCGGAUAAGCUAAACGGAAGGCAUCUUCUGUUUAGGAAAGGAGGCCUCUUAACAAUGCUCCCGCUUUUAGAUGAGUCUGCGUCUGAUUAGCUAGUUGGUGGGGUAACGGCUUACCAAGGCGACGAUCAGUAGUCGGCCUGAGAGGGUGACCGGCCACAUUGGGACUGAGACACGGCCCAAACUCCUACGGGAGGCAGCAGUGGGGAAUCUUCCGCAAUGGGCGAAAGCCUGACGGAGCAACGCCGCGUGAUCGAAUGAAGGCCUUCGGGUUGUAAAGAUCUGUUGACAGGGACGAAUAAGCCAUGCGAAUAGUUUGGUGUAUGACGGUACCUGUUUAGAAAGCUCCGGCUAACUACGUGCCAGCAGCCGCGGUAAUACGUAGGGAGCAAGCGUUGUCCGGAAUUACUGGGCGUAAAGGGCGCGUAGGUGGGUGCUUAAGUCAGGUGUGAAAACUCUGGGCUCAACCUGGAGACUGCACUUGAAACUGGGUAUCUUGAGGGCAGGAGAGGAAAGUGGAAUUCCUAGUGUAGCGGUGAAAUGCGUAGAUAUUAGGAGGAACACCAGUGGCGAAGGCGACUUUCUGGACUGUACCUGACGCUGAGGCGCGAAAGCGUGGGUAGCGAACGGGAUUAGAUACCCCGGUAGUCCACGCCGUAAACGAUGAAUACUAGGUGUAGGAGGUAUCGACUCCUUCUGUGCCGCAGCAAACGCAAUAAGUAUUCCGCCUGGGGACUACGGUCGCAAGACUAAAACUCAAAGGAAUUGACGGGGACCCGCACAAGCGGUGGAGCAUGUGGUUUAAUUCGACGCAACGCGAAGAACCUUACCAGGGCUUGACAUCCCUCGCUAUCUGUGGAAACACGGAGUUCCGUAGCUUGCUACGGACGAGGAGACAGGUGGUGCAUGGUUGUCGUCAGCUCGUGUCGUGAGAUGUUGGGUUAAGUCCCGCAACGAGCGCAACCCCUACGUCCAGUUGCCAGCACGUUAAGGUGGGAACUCUGGAGGAACUGCCGGUGACAAACCGGAGGAAGGUGGGGAUGACGUCAAAUCAUCAUGCCCUUUAUGUUCUGGGCUACACACGUGCUACAAUGGCCGGUACAGAGGGCGGCGAAGCCGCGAGGUGGAGCGAAUCCCAAAAAGCCGGUCUAAGUUCGGAUUGCAGGCUGCAACCCGCCUGCAUGAAGUCGGAAUCGCUAGUAAUCGCGAGUCAGCAUAUCGCGGUGAAUACGUUCCCGGGUCUUGUACACACCGCCCGUC